This 273-nucleotide long non-coding RNA is filed under the name Elaeis guineensis (African oil palm). Its description in RNAcentral is "long non-coding RNA (EGUI_LNC060223)". The record is from RNAcentral. Lineage: Eukaryota; Viridiplantae; Streptophyta; Magnoliopsida; Arecales; Arecaceae.
GCUUCAUUGGAGAUCUCAUCUAUUAUUUUGCUGAAUUAUGGUCUAUACAAUUACAAGGAUACAACAAUAUACAAAGACAACGUACCAUAUAUGGUCUUCAUCAACAUUUCAGUUCCACUCGCUUCUACUAGUCAUUCAUCAAUAUAAUUUUAUACCAAGCUUUUCUUUCAUAGAAUAGGCUGCUGCACACAUUUCUUACUAUAUUUGUACACUCGAUGUUUCAUCUUCAACACUGAUGGUACAUGGUUCAUACACUCACAAGGAUAUAACUGC